RNAcentral lists this small RNA (152 nucleotides) under Azadinium spinosum. Its description in RNAcentral is "partial Betaproteobacteria transfer-messenger RNA". The record is from RNAcentral. Lineage: Eukaryota; Dinophyceae; Gonyaulacales; Amphidomataceae.
CGUUUCCCCGCACCUCCUCCGCUAGCAUGGUGAAUUUGUGGGAGAUCGUCGGUGGGUCGGACACUGAUGGCGUCAUGGUGAGGAAGGGUGAGAAGCUGGGCACCCCCAAGUUAGAUGAGCGCAUCGCCACAGGUGCAAUUGUCGAGGAGAUA